This 1954-nucleotide long non-coding RNA is filed under the name Salvia miltiorrhiza (redroot sage). RNAcentral describes it as "long non-coding RNA (SMIL_LNC000655)". Lineage: Eukaryota; Viridiplantae; Streptophyta; Magnoliopsida; Lamiales; Lamiaceae. The record is from RNAcentral.
UAAAUUAAAGCCACUAACAUGCAACCAAGUACAAUACUAAAUUUCAAUAAAUAUAUAUGGUAUGCUUCCCCAUAAAUAAGGAAGAAAUUAAUCAUGAGUUUUGGCAAUGGAGCAGAAAGAUGAACAAGUGUGGGAUUGCGGUAGCCCUUUGUACGAUGCUUAUGAGUUGGUUUCACUAACAAAUAUCAUCGAGAGGCACAUGAUGAUGAUGCCCUCUACAUCUCAAAUUUCCUUCAUUUCCCAAGAGGAACUCGUUGAGCAGGAGGCGGAGGCGAAGGCGAAGAAGAGAUUCGUUGCUUUUCAGAAGAAGGAAUCAAAUUGGUUCAUGACCAAAUUUUCUGGUAUUUUUAGUCGAAUUAGUUUGAUGAAGCGAUUAUGUAUCACGUAUGUAUGAUCGAUAUUCAGCGUUUUUAUUUUUAUUUUUGCACUUAUACUUCAUAAAUUCCAAUCGUACGUGAUAUUAUCAAAAGGAAAUAAUUGAUUUAUUUUGAUGGCAUAAUCUCUAUAAUUUCUUUGCUAGGUCUAGGUGAUCUUUCAUUUCAUGUAUAGCCUUUUUUUCAAGUUUAUAUUGAUAUUGAAUUUGUUAUAAGUAGAAAAGAGGCUAAGAUUUGACUCGGGAAUCCUAGAAUUAAUUGUUUCAUUCAUUCACUAUCUUUAAUUAGGUUUCUAUCUGUCCGGCUGUCCCUAUAUAUAUGUACUAUAUAUAGGAGUGUUUACUAUUUUAGCUAUAUAUAUAUCUUGGUUUCUGAUUUUGCGUAUUGGAACUUGUAUAGAUAGUAUUAAAGGACUCUUAUUUGUAUGAUGGUAUCAUGGUAUUAUCACAUGUUUACCCUGAUGAGAAGUGCAAUUUGAUUAGCUCUAUAUAUAUAUUACCAAAAAUGUCAAGAGUAAGAAAAUAUAUAAUGAUAUAGCAAAUUCAGUUAUAUAUCCAGUUUGAAUUAAUUAUAAGAACAAUUGUAGAGCUAAAUAGUGAUAAAAUAAGAACAUUUACCAUCCACUCGAUGGAAAGUUGUAACUAAAACUUGAAAAGGUGCGACUACUAGAUUGUGUUGUAUAGCCCACAAAGUUAAAAUUGAACAACUUAUAAAAUUGGAUAUUUAAUUGUUAAAUCCUAACUUUGCAUGCAUCAAAUAUAAUUUUUUUUAGCAAAGUUUGUGUAUUUUUACAUGCAAUUUUCCCUAAUAAAAUACUGCAGCUAACACGAUGCAAUUGGUAGCAAAUAAUAAGUUGAGUAUUGUAUCCACAGAGACAAAAAAAUCGAAAACACAAUGAAUAGUCCACAUAAGUACUAAACCAAUAUCGAGGCAAACAACUAACGGAUGAUGAUGAACUAUAGCUAGACUAAAGUAAUGAAAAUAAAUGAAGUCAGUCGAUAAGAAUAAAAAUAUUGAUGUUAGGUAAUGCAAUUACAUUAAAUAAAUUUACAUAAUUAAUCUUUUUUUAGAGAAGUUACAUAAUUUACAUAAUUAAUCUAUUAAUCAAAAUUGCCAGUUUAAUCCAAUUCUGAUGAAAGUUCACAAAACUCACUAUAUACUCUCACUAGAUUAGUCUAUGAUAGUAGAAUAAUAUAGUCUUUAUCACUCGUAAGUAUCAAGAAGAAAUAUACUAAUUCCCAAAAACUAACUUCCAAAAGCACACUAAACAUAGCUUCAUAUGAUCCACCUAUCUUCGUUAGGUCUCAAGGUUAAAAUCAUAUCACACAUUCUUGAAUCGGCUAAACAGUUAUCUCUGCUAGAUCUCAAACAGAAUAACUAAACAUGCAAAUUAUUGGUCAGAUAAUCCACUUUUUUUUUUGAUCAGCAAAAGAAGGAAACUUAAAUAAACCAAAGAAAAAGCAUACGGUACCAGCAGUACCAGAGAGAACAAAAGCAUCAAAGGACCUCAAAGAGAGGGAAAAAGAAGGAAACAGGGGAAAGGAACGAAAAUGACUUCACCCCGAGCAAAUUGCUUGCUC